GGGGCUGAUUGGCUUUGACAGCGUGUAGAAACGGUAGGUAAGCAUGCAGAGUUUUGGUGUUCAAACUCUAUAAUAGCAAGAGCAUCGAACUAUAACUGGCGAAAAUAACAAUUACGCUCUCGCUGCGUGAGUCUGAAUAGAGUAAGACCGCUUAAUUUGCCUCAAGAGGAGGCAAACGAGACAUCACUCCAUUGCCCUGUUCCGAGACGUUUGGACAAAGUGGUGUAGAAGAAUUCGGAAAUAGGGAAAGAAACGCCUUGAUUCUUUCCUGAAAUUUAGAGGAUAAGGGUAAGAUUGGUUGUCAUGAGCCUGUCAUACCACGAAAACCAAGUCAUUGACUAAGCAUGUAGAAAGCUUAUUGGGUCCACGUUUGGACGAGGGUUCAAUCCCCUCCAGCUCCACUA
Molecule: transfer-messenger RNA, 404 nt
Filed under: Muribaculaceae bacterium
Lineage: Bacteria; Pseudomonadati; Bacteroidota; Bacteroidia; Bacteroidales; Muribaculaceae
Rfam family: transfer-messenger RNA
About the family: Bacterial tmRNA, also known as 10Sa RNA or SsrA, is named for its dual tRNA and mRNA-like properties. Its role is to liberate the mRNA from a stalled ribosome.
Source: RNAcentral